GGCUUCCUCGCGACGGUCAACCGUAAACUCCGCCAGGCCCGGAAGGGAGCAACGGUAGCGGUGAUGCUGGGUGCCGGGGAG
This 81-nucleotide signal recognition particle RNA is filed under the name marine eukaryotic metagenome. RNAcentral describes it as "Bacterial small signal recognition particle RNA". It matches the Rfam family "Bacterial small signal recognition particle RNA". Rfam says of the family: The signal recognition particle (SRP) is a universally conserved ribonucleoprotein involved in the co-translational targeting of proteins to membranes. The record is from RNAcentral.